RNAcentral lists this ribosomal RNA (681 nucleotides) under uncultured Serratia sp. RNAcentral describes it as "bacterial SSU rRNA". It matches the Rfam family "Bacterial small subunit ribosomal RNA", at positions 788 to 1468 of the family's 1533-position model. Lineage: Bacteria; Pseudomonadati; Pseudomonadota; Gammaproteobacteria; Enterobacterales; Yersiniaceae. The record is from RNAcentral.
UGGUAGUCCACGCUGUAAACGAUGUCGAUUUGGAGGUUGUGCCCUUGAGGCGUGGCUUCCGGAGCUAACGCGUUAAAUCGACCGCCUGGGGAGUACGGCCGCAAGGUUAAAACUCAAAUGAAUUGACGGGGGCCCGCACAAGCGGUGGAGCAUGUGGUUUAAUUCGAUGCAACGCGAAGAACCUUACCUACUCUUGACAUCCAGAGAACUUUCCAGAGAUGGAUUGGUGCCUUCGGGAACUCUGAGACAGGUGCUGCAUGGCUGUCGUCAGCUCGUGUUGUGAAAUGUUGGGUUAAGUCCCGCAACGAGCGCAACCCUUAUCCUUUGUUGCCAGCGGUUCGGCCGGGAACUCAAAGGAGACUGCCAGUGAUAAACUGGAGGAAGGUGGGGAUGACGUCAAGUCAUCAUGGCCCUUACGAGUAGGGCUACACACGUGCUACAAUGGCAUAUACAAAGAGAAGCGACCUCGCGAGAGCAAGCGGACCUCAUAAAGUAUGUCGUAGUCCGGAUUGGAGUCUGCAACUCGACUCCAUGAAGUCGGAAUCGCUAGUAAUCGUAGAUCAGAAUGCUACGGUGAAUACGUUCCCGGGCCUUGUACACACCGCCCGUCACACCAUGGGGAGUGGGUUGCAAAAGAAGUAGGUAGCUUAACCUUCGGGAGGGCGCUUACCACUUUGUGAU